Molecule: ribosomal RNA, 440 nt
Filed under: uncultured bacterium
Lineage: Bacteria
Description: partial 16S ribosomal RNA
Rfam family: Bacterial small subunit ribosomal RNA
Source: RNAcentral
CCUACGGGUGGCAGCAGUGGGGAAUAUUGCACAAUGGGGGAAACCCUGAUGCAGCGACGCCGCGUGAGUGAAGAAGUAUUUCGGUACGUAAAGCUCUAUCAGCAGGGAAGAAAAUGACGGUACCUGACUAAGAAUCCCCGUCUAACUACGUGCCAGCAGCCGCGGUAAUACGGAGGGGGCAAGCGUUAUCCGGAUUUACUGGGGGUAAAGGGAGCGUAGACGGCAGCGCAGGUCUGGAGUGAAAUCCCAUGGAUUAACCAUGGAACUGCUUUGGAAACUGUGCAGCUAGAGUGCAGGAGAGGUAAGCGGAAUUCGUAGUGUAGCGGUGAAAUGCGUAGAUAUUAGGAGGAACACCAGUGGCGAAGGCGGCUUACUGGACUGUAACUGACGUUGAGGCUCGAAAGCGUGGGGAGCAAACAGGAUUAGAUACCCCUGUAGUC